Molecule: ribosomal RNA, 253 nt
Filed under: uncultured bacterium
Lineage: Bacteria
Description: partial 16S ribosomal RNA
Rfam family: Bacterial small subunit ribosomal RNA
Source: RNAcentral
UACGAAGGGGGCUAGCGUUGUUCGGAAUUACUGGGCGUAAAGUGCGCGCAGGCGGUCUUCCAAGUCAGUGGUGAAAGCCCGGAGCUCAACUCCGGAACUGCCAUUGAAACUGUAAGACUUGAGGAUGAGAGAGGUGAGUGGAAUUCCCAGUGUAGAGGUGAAAUUCGUAGAUAUUGGGAAGAACACCGGUGGCGAAGGCGGCUCACUGGCUCAUAUCUGACGCUCAGGCGCGACAGCGUGGGGAUCAAACAGG